This 640-nucleotide long non-coding RNA is filed under the name Homo sapiens (human). Its description in RNAcentral is "HSALNT0256033". The record is from RNAcentral. Lineage: Eukaryota; Metazoa; Chordata; Mammalia; Primates; Hominidae.
CAAUAAACCCAUUGUGAGUUGAAAAUGCUGUAAGUCAAAAAUGUAGUAAGUUGAACUGUAGUAAGUUGGGACCAUCUGUAUCUCAAUUUACCCUUAGAAUAGUCCUACAGAGAAGAGAUUGGACCCAUGAUAUAGAUAAGGCUUGGAAAUGAAUGAUUUGCCUGACGAGAGAGCCAGGCUGAGGGAGCGGGGCGUUGGAUGCCCUCCUGCCUCCAACACGCAGCCCUCUUACUUCACGCAAGGUCGAGCAGCCACGGGAGUAGGGGGUUGAGGCACAACUUGCAUUGUCACACCCAUAUGUCCUGCAGAAGCCAUCGAAUGGUCUGUGACGGGGGAGUGGAGCUUCUUCCACAUGCCCAGGGCUUACAUCUUGCAAAAGCUGGUGUGAUGUUCAGGUCCUACAUGAAUGGUUGCACCUGAUGCCUCUUCAGAAUAUAUAAUGGGGGGACCAGGCACAGUGGCUCACGCCUGUAAUCCCAGCACUUUGGAAGGCCGAGGCAGGUGGAUCACUUGAGGCCAGGAGUUCGAGACCAGCCUGGCCAACAUGGUGAAACCACGUCUCUACUAAAAAUAAAAAAAUUGGCUCAGUGCAGUGGCUCUGCACGGCACUGCAGCCUGGGCUAGAGAGCAAGAUUUCGUC